Molecule: ribosomal RNA, 445 nt
Filed under: uncultured bacterium
Lineage: Bacteria
Description: partial 16S ribosomal RNA
Rfam family: Bacterial small subunit ribosomal RNA
Source: RNAcentral
UUGAGGAAUAUUGGUCAAUGGGCGGGAGCCUGAACCAGCCAAGUCGCGUGAAGGAAGAAGGAUCUAUGGUUCGUAAACUUCUUUUGCAGGGGAAUAAAGUGCAGGACGUGUCCUGUUUUGUAUGUACCCUGAGAAUAAGGAUCGGCUAACUCCGUGCCAGCAGCCGCGGUAAUACGGAGGAUCCGAGCGUUAUCCGGAUUUAUUGGGUUUAAAGGGUGCGUAGGUGGUUUGAUAAGUCAGCGGUGAAAGGUUGCAGCUUAACUGUAGAAAUGCCGUUGAAACUGUCGGACUUGAGUGUAAAUGAGGUAGGCGGAAUGCGUGGUGUAGCGGUGAAAUGCAUAGAUAUCACGCAGAACUCCGAUUGCGAAGGCAGCUUACUAAGCUACAACUGACACUGAAGCACGAAAGCGUGGGGAUCAAACAGGAUUAGAUACCCGUGUAGUCC